GGGGGGGAGGGGCGGCGAGGCGAGGCCUGCGGAGCGGAGGAAGACAAACAUAAAGAUGAAGUGCUUAAUUCAAGGUCACACAAUGUCGGGGAUGGACCUCCAGAUUUCCUUACUGACCUGCAUUAUCUUGUGGAUACCUGAGUGAAUUCCACACCACCCAUUUUAUAGAUGAAACCACUGAGACAUGGAGCAAUUGACUGAGUAGUCACUGCCCCACCCCUGCCUGGAGCCUCACACAUGACUCGCCUCCUCUCAGUGACCACAGGUUGGUUGAGGGGUUUAACAAGGCUAAGAAGGUGAGACGUGGUCUUGUAACACAGUGGUUAAGAAUGUGACUUUGGAGCCAGCCUGCUAGGGGCUGAAUUCUGACUCAGCCAUUUACUAACUGUGUGACCUUAGGUAAGUCAUUUACCUUCUUUGUCCCUCAGUUUCAUCUCGGUUAAGUAGGGAUAAUGAUAGCACCUAUUUUAUAGGGUUAUUGUGAGGAAUAAAUCCAAGUAAAAUGCUUAGAAUAGUAACUGAAACAUAGCACUCAUUAGGAAUGCUUUAAUUUUCAUUUAUUUGAGUAUUAAAGGUUGAAUUUUCAGAGGUAUUUUGGACCUUUGUAUUUUUUCUUUAAAUCACUUAUUCAUGACUUUUGAACUUUUUUUUUUCUUUUAGAGACAGGGUCUUGGUUUGUUGUCUAGGCUGGAAUGCAGUGGUGCAAUCAUAGCUCACUGUAGCCUUGAACUCUUGGGCUCAAGAGAUCCUCCUGCCUCAGCCUCGUGAGUAGCUGGGCCUACAGGCGCCUGCUACCACACCUGGCUAAUUUUUUAUUUUUUGUAGAGAUGGGUUCUUGCAGCCCAGACUGGUCUUGAGCUUUGGCCUGAAGUGCUCCUCCUGCCUUGGCCUCUCAAAGCAUUGGGGUUACAGGUGUGAAGCACUGCACCUUGCCUACACAUUUUUUCCAAUAAUUUUUUUUAUUAAUUUGUAAGAGUUAACAUGUCGACUAUCAUAUAUAACAUAGAAUUGUUCCCAUUUUGUCAUUUCCUUUCAACUUUGUCUAUGUAGCUUUUUUUCUGUGUGCAAAUUUUACAUUUUUAGGUAGUCAGAAAAUCUCUUCCCUUGUAAUUUUUUCUGCUACUAGACCAAUGUUUAGAAAAAAGCGUGCUUCCCCACCUCAAAAUUAUAAAAAUAGUUACUUGUUCUUUUUGAGUACUGUGUGUGUUUAAAUCUUUAAUCUUUAAAUUUAAAUCUUUGAUCCAUCUGGUAUUUAUUUUGAUAUGAAGAGAGUGGUUGGGAUCUGGCUGUAUUUCUUUUUUCUUUUUUUUUCUUUUUUCUUUUUUUGACGAAGUCUCACUGUUGCUCAGGCUGGAGUGCAAUGGCAUGAUCUCGGCUCAUCACAACCUCUGCUUCCUGGGUUCAAGCGAUUCUCCUGCCUCAGCCUCCCGAGUACCUGGGACUACAGGCACUCGCCACCAUGCCCGGCUGAUUUUUGUAUUUUUAAUAGAGAUGGUUUCACUAUGUUGGCCAGGCUGGUCUCGAACUCCUGACCUUGUGAUCUGCCCACCUCAGCCUCGAAAAGUGCUGGGAUUACAGGCGUGAGCCACUGCGCCCAGCCUUGUAUUUUUUUUCAGUUUGGGUAGCUGUCCCUAAUUCAUUUGUUAAAGGAGAAGCAAGAGCAAGAACCUUUAAUCUGUUCUCCUCUUCCCUAAUUUGAAAGUAGCUUGUUAUUUUGAAUAUCACUUUCUCUGAAAUAGCACAUCUCCAUCUCAGAGAAUGGAUUUAAUGUUUGGAUACAGCCAAAAGUCAUUUCAUUACCAAACCAUGGGGUGAAUAUACCAUGUAAAGCAGUUUGGGAUCAGAACUCACAGUCUGAAUUGUAAGUGAUGAGACUGCUGUCUCUCUGCUACAGCUUCUUGGCUGGCUCUGAAGGCUCUUUGAAGGCAGAUCCUAACAAGGGGACUGCUUUGAAGGGCCAUUGUUCAUUUGGAAUGAUAAAGUCUAUGUUGUUCAAAAAACAAAUGCUUGUAGCAGGUAUUUUUUCACUCCAGACUGAGAAUAUUGGUGGGAUAUUGAUAAGGGGUACUGAAUGGUAAUAAACAUGUGCUCUAGCUCUGUGCUAGUCAGCUUAUUUCAGAACUCUAGUUUGAUUCAGUUUCUUGCCUCUGACUCAAAAUGGAGGGAGAGUGAUUUUUACAUAAGAGAACACACCCACAUAUCCUUUUGGCAGCAGCUACCUGCCAGAGAUGUUGAAGAAGAGUAGCCAACCUUUACACAGCAGAUAUUGUGUGCCAGUCAUAGUCCUAAGUAUAAUACCUUACAUGUAUAAACUUCUUAUAAGGUUGGUGCUCUGUACCGAAUUGAAUAGUAUCCCCCAAAAUUCAUGUUGUCCCAGAACCUAUGAAAGUGAUCUUACUUGAGGGAGGGGGGAGGGGGGAGGGAUAGCAUUAGGAGAUAUACCUAAUGCUAAAUGACGAGUUAAUGGGUGUAGCACACCAGCAUGGCACAUGUAUACAUAUGUAACUAACCUGCACAUUGUGCACAUGUACCCUAAAACUUAAAGUAUAAUAAUAAUAAAAUAAAAAAAAAAAAGAAAGUGAUCUUACUUGGAAAUAAGGUCUUUGCACAUAUGAUCAAGUUGAGAUGAAGUUGUACUGGAAAGUCUGUCUAGUGACUGGUGUUGUCAUAAGAAGAGAGGGACACAGAGGGAAGAUGGCCACAUGAAGAUGGAGGCAGAGAUUGCAGUUAUGCUGCUGCAAACUAAGGAAUGGCUCUGGCCCUCCAAGGAUUGCUGAUAACCACCAGAAACUAGAAGAGACAAGGAAGGAUUCUUCCCUAGAGCCUUCAGAGGGAGCAUGGCCCUACUGACACCUGGAUUUCAAACUUGUAGCUUCCUAAACUGCAAGAGAAUAAAUUUCUGUUGUUUUAAGCCA
Molecule: long non-coding RNA, 2915 nt
Filed under: Homo sapiens (human)
Lineage: Eukaryota; Metazoa; Chordata; Mammalia; Primates; Hominidae
Description: PCBP1 antisense RNA 1, transcript variant 45 (PCBP1-AS1)
Source: RNAcentral